AAAGCUCAUGCCCCAGCCAGAACCUGAAAAAUUCAGAGAUGGAAAAUGAAAAUGACAAGAUUGUUCCCAAAGCAACAGCCAGGCUACCUGAAGCAGAGGAGCUGAUCGCGCCUGGAACGCCGAUUCAAUUCGAUAUUGUGCUUCCUGCUACAGAAUUCCUUGAUCAGAACAGAGGGAGCAGUUCAAGUGUUAAGUGCCCUUCUAGCUGCAGCUGUCGUGUUUGUUCAACUCUGGCUAUUCCCCUAGGCGUACCAACCCUUUUGGUGAAACUGAGGAUGAAUCAUUUCCAGAAGCAGAAGAUUCUCUUUUGCAGCAGAUGUUUAUAGUUCGGUUUUUGGGAUCAAUGGCAGUUAAAACAGACAGCACUACUGA
RNAcentral lists this small RNA (372 nucleotides) under Pan troglodytes (chimpanzee). RNAcentral describes it as "processed transcript". The record is from RNAcentral. Lineage: Eukaryota; Metazoa; Chordata; Mammalia; Primates; Hominidae.